This 71-nucleotide transfer RNA is filed under the name Camelus bactrianus (Bactrian camel). It matches the Rfam family "tRNA". Rfam says of the family: Transfer RNA (tRNA) molecules are approximately 80 nucleotides in length. RNAcentral also lists the same sequence under 2 other names. Lineage: Eukaryota; Metazoa; Chordata; Mammalia; Artiodactyla; Camelidae. The record is from Rfam by way of RNAcentral.
GAGGUAAUAUCUCUGUGGUAGAGCGCGUGCUUAGCACGCAUGAGGUCCUGGGUUCAAUCCCCAGUACCUCA